This is a long non-coding RNA of Pelodiscus sinensis (Chinese soft-shelled turtle), 3622 nucleotides long. RefSeq lists it as uncharacterized. The record is from RefSeq and is a predicted model, not a curated record. NCBI's taxonomy places the organism in Eukaryota, Metazoa, Chordata, Testudines, Trionychidae.
UUUGUAAGAAACUUAAUGAGGUUUCUGAAAAGGAUCUGAUGACAGAUACAUGACUUAAGGGCUAUGAUGCAUAUUUUGGAUCCAGUUCCUACCUGGGUGCUGGAAGACCGGUGUACCUGUAAUGACACCAAUGAUUCCUGGAAUAGUGAAUCUCUCCAUGGUAAAUGAAGAAAUUCUAAUACUAAACUAGAAUUAAUAACUUUCUUGCUGAGAAAUCUUCAUAGUCUGAGAAAACAUCAUUUCUGUGAGUUUUCCUAUUUAAGCUUUUUUAAAAAUGCAAAGUGCUGGACAAAAAUCCAUUUAUAUUCAUAUUACAAACUCCUCUUGUUCAUUUUCAAAUAUAAAAAAGUUCAGAUCAGGACUGAGAGCUUACCUCAGAGCAUCUGCUUUGCAGUGGGUGUAUAAUGAUUUAACUGAGAAUUUCAUCAAACAGUGAUCUGCACUGAAUUUGCUGGUGGUUCCUCCCCCUUGUUUCCAGAUAUUAAAUUGCAGAUAAAGACACACUAAAUACUGCCUUAAUAUUACUUUUCUACAUAACCAUUUGCUGCAUUUUUUUGCGUGGGCUUGUUCAGGUGAUCACAAAUGGGAAGAGUUGACCAGGGUUGCCAGCUAUCAGUAUAUUUACAGACAGUCCAUAAAAAACAACUACAAUUAGACCCAUCUGUAAAAACAUUUAGCUAUCAGUGAAAACAACACCAAGCUUUGCAGUGGAGCUGAGGAGUUCCUCUCCUUGGUCCCUGCAUGAGCUCCUUGUCAUGGGCAGCUCCAGAGUUUGCAAUUCCCCAGGCAAGGGAAUAGACAGGAAUUCUCCAGUCAGGAGCUCCCUCUGACCUGCUGCUUGCUGGUGGGGGCUGUUCCAUCUCCAGCUUUGAACUCUUCAUUGGCAUCACAAGCUUCAGCACAGCAUCAGCUUUUGGUGAGAGUGGAUACAGCACACACCCCUGUCAGGCUUCCUGCGGCUGACGGGGUGGGGAACAGGAAACAGCAGGCCAGGCUUAGCAGACUCCCCUAGUCUCCCCACUGGUAAGCCACAAUGAGGCAGUCACUAGUGGUGGCUCUUAGCCCAAGGUAGGUGACCUGCUCCUGGGCAUCACCUGGCAGUGUGGGAGGAGGAUCCAGAGGGGGAUGAUUUGGGUUGGGUUAGCUAUAAUAGGAAUAGGUUUAUGUCAGCAUGCAUAUCGACUACAGUUCAUUUUUGUCCUUUUGAGCCAUCGUUAUAUUAUGCAAGAAUGUGUCUGUAAAAAUGCUUUGGUUGUCCGUAACUUUUUCUAUACGAUUCAUAGAAAUCAUUUUCAGCAAAAGGCAACCCUGAAGUUGACUGGGAAUGAUAUUACAUGAUAUUAAAGGUGAUCAGUAACACAGAAAAUUUGCUCUGGUGUUUAACGGUUUCACUCACAAUAAAGGGUUCUGUCACCACCUUCCAAAAGACCCUGCAUGCAGCUUUGGCUCAGAGGCUUGACAGCAACAGGCUCUUCGCAGCACAGUUACCUCACCCUGGCUUCCACCAGCCUGGUCACAUCUGCUAUUAAAAACAUAUUUCCAGCACACUUAUAUAAUUAUUCAUACAUGGUCAAUAGAUACUUUACAUAAUAAUAUUAAUGGCCAUUGUGUUAUCAGUUGGCAUGAUACCUUAUGUGACAUCUUUAAAAUACCCAUUAUGACAGCAAUGAGUUAGGGGCAAUGAGUGAAUCAGGCCAGAUGUGCAUAAGGGAAUGCUAUGCCCAUUGCCUCGGUCACAGUUUGCGAAGCCGCAAUGUAUUGAAUUCUGCCAAUGUUCUGGAUCAAAUCUGUUUAGAUGAAAUGGAAGGGUACUCAGUGGAAAUGGAGAACCUAGAAAGGAGGAUAUUGAGAGUUUCUCCUAGUCCUGCAAAAACAAAGCAAAGAUCACAAGAUCCUCAGAGCAGAAACAGUUGAAUUGUCGUACUCUACAGGACUGAGGACAGUACAUAGGCAAUCAAAGUCUUUAAUACAUGUAUUACACAUAAACUUUCCUCUUCUACAUAAAUGAAUAUAUUCUGCAUUGCUCUAAUUUCCCACACCAAGAGAAAAACUAUAAAAGAAUGCUGAUAUUUUCUGCAAGUGCUAAAAUUCUUAGCUAGAUAUGUCCUUUUUUUUCUUGCCACUAUAAAACAAUAAAAACUGCAUGUUGGUGCACAUAAAGAGGAGAGAUGGAUCUACAGUACUCAUCUCGUUGGGAGGAGAAUGAAAUUACCUUAGAACAUACAUUUUGAGGUUGAAACAUGCAGUCCUUGCACCGAGUCACUCUUGAUUAAAUGAGUAUGUCAAUAGGAAUAUGUCUGGCGUAAGACAAAAAAAAAAAAGAUUGUAAGUAUGGCUCAUUUGAUUUUAUUGUGUUGCACAGAGUUUAUUAUAAUAUGGUCAUAAUCCUAAUUUUUAAUGUUAACCAAAAAAAGACACUAGUACUAGCUAGUGUCAAUUCCUUCUUUUAGCUCUAUGUGAGCCAUCCAAAUCCAACACCAAUUCAGAAUGUGAAAUUGCUCAACAAUGUUGGUUAAAAAUAGAAUGAAUAUUGGCAUGCAUCUCAGUAAUUAAGCUUUUUCGUGAACUGGAGAUCAUACAUUUGGUUUUUUUUCUGUACAUUUGUUCCAAUAAGAUAAGAUGCAACACCUACAAUAGCGGAACUUGACAUUUGUUUAUUGAGUUUCCUAUUUUCAUUCUACAGGUUAUCUCCUGCUGCACAAACACAGACACAGAAUAAUUAAUAGCAGACUCUCAGUACAUGUUGUACCUUGUGAAGGAAUGCUUCCAGAAUCAACACUAACCUCCCAGUAGGGAAAUAUCUAACUGACCAUUGUGAGGAAUUAGAUGUAAAAAUGAUUAGACAGUAAAUAGAAACUAAGGCUUUGAACCUCAUCCUACAACCACUUCUCAUGUGACUAAGUAACAGUGCUUUAGGGUGAGCAAGAGUUACAAGAUCAUUCCCUUACGUAACAGUAUUUUCCUAGAAGAACAAUCUCAAUGGUUUUACUAUUCUGUAAUGUUAAAAUUAAGAAAAACAGAUCUGGGAAUAUAGAUAUAUGAAUAUCGAUAAGCACCCAGAUAAACAGAAGAGAUAAAUAAGUACACAAAUCAAAGAUUGUAAACAAUCUUUGUAGACAAGUAACAACUUCCAGAUGAAUCCCUGUGGUGUUUUAGAUGCUGCUUGUAAUUAUUAGAACUGGGAGCAUUGGCUGUUGGGAGUCUGGAAGCACAGGAAGCAGGAAACAGGAAGGAGUGAGGAGAAGAUUGACAGGGGCUGAGUGAAAGCUACUGAGAGAUGCAGCAGCUUUGUAAAGAGGUUCCACUUUUGGUAAAUAAAGUCCUAUUGAAGUUUGUUAGUACCUUGCUUGCAUGAUAUAACAAUCCCUAAUUCCCACGGAGAAUCCAUAACCUACUGCCUCCAAAACAGCUUGCAAGCCAACAGUCAGAUCAAGAGACCCAAGUCUGUAUUAUUUCUUUUGCUGCUGACAAGAUUCAGCCUUUGACUUUUUGAUUCAUGUUGAUUCCACUUAGAAGAUAGCAGACUGUAUAUGACUGUCUUCAUCCAUUGCCUCUAGGCCAAUAAUAGUUCUUAUACUCUAAGGCUGCGUCUAGACUGGCAUGAUUUUACGCAUAUACUUUU